UGGGGAAUAUUGCGCAAUGGUCUAACGACUGACGCAGCGACGCCGCGUGAGGGAUGAAGCUCUUCGGAGUGUAAACCUCUGUUGCCAGGGACGAACAGCUGAAUUCAUUCAGCCUGACGGUACCUGGUGAGGAAGCACCGGCUAACUCCGUGCCAGCAGCCGCGGUAAUACGGGGGGUGCGAGCGUUGUCCGGAAUCACUGGGCGUAAAGGGCGCGUAGGUGGCCUGAUAAGGGUGUGGUGAAAGUCCGGGGCUUAACCCCGGAUCUGCCAUGCCGACUGUUAGGCUAGAGUGCUGUAGGGGCAGGCGGAAUUCCGGGUGUAGCGGUGGAAUGCGUAGAGAUCCGGAGGAAGACCGGUGGCGAAGGCGGCCUGCUGGGCAGAUACUGACACUGAGGCGCGACAGCGUGGGGAGCAAACAG
RNAcentral lists this ribosomal RNA (420 nucleotides) under uncultured bacterium. Its description in RNAcentral is "bacterial SSU rRNA". It matches the Rfam family "Bacterial small subunit ribosomal RNA", at positions 355 to 775 of the family's 1533-position model. The record is from RNAcentral.